UACGUAGGGUGCGAGCGUUAAUCGGAAUUACUGGGCGUAAAGCGUGCGCAGGCGGUUUUGUAAGCCAGAUGUGAAAUCCCCGGGCUUAACCUGGGAAUGGCAUUUGGGACUGCAAGGCUGGAGUGUGGCAGAGGAGACUGGAAUUCCUAGUGUAGCAGUGAAAUGCGUAGAUAUCAGGAGGAAUACCGAUGGCGAAGGCAGGUCUCUGGGCUGACACUGACGCUCAUGCACGAAAGCGUGGGGAGCAAACAGG
RNAcentral lists this ribosomal RNA (253 nucleotides) under uncultured bacterium. RNAcentral describes it as "partial 16S ribosomal RNA". It matches the Rfam family "Bacterial small subunit ribosomal RNA", at positions 524 to 776 of the family's 1533-position model. The record is from RNAcentral.